GCACCAGGCUAAUUUUUUGUAUUUUUAGUAGAGACGGGGUUUCACCGUGUUAGCCAGGAUGGUCUCGAUCUCCUGACCUCGUGAUCCGCCCACCUUGGCCUCCCUAUUUACUUUUUUCUACAUUCAAUGAGAGCGUCAACAUCUCUAGGCAAGAAGUCUCAUUCAUAUUUCUGUCCCCAGGACCCCAGACCAGUGACUCAGUGGGUAGUGGUGUUGAUUUUGUACCCCAGGGAACAUUUGGUAAUGUCUGCAGACCUUUCUAGUUGCCACAACGUGGGGCGGGGUGUGCUACUGGCUUCUAGUGGGUAAUAACAAGGAUGCUGCUACCCCUGCAGAACACACAAGAGAGUCCCUGACAUCAGAGAAUUCCCCAGCCCCAAAUCGGUGAUGCCAAGGCUGAGACCCUGCCUGAGUAUAAUGACUAACAAAGUUAAGUGUUCAAUAUAUAGUUUUUUGGGUAAAUUUCAAGUCGUAUACCAACAACCUCCACCAAACGACAAUCCCUAAAAGAUAACGUUUGCUUAUCUUUCAAAACCCAGCUCAAGCAGCACCACCUCCUAGAAGCCUUUCUGACACCAUCAGACAGCAUUUUUUUUUUCUUUUUAAAAAUCCUAGUAAAAUAUUGGCUUAUUUUACUUUCUCUUCACCCUUUUCCUAGUCAGCUCUGCUCAGGGAAUGCAAAUGUCAGCCUAAGGAUGACACUAUUAGGCCAAAAGUAUGUUUCUUCAAAAGCAAUGUGAAACAUUUCAAAGUUAAAAAAAAAAAAAAAAAAGGAAAAACCUGUGAAUUUUCCAUGGCUUUGUAGCUGGGAUUUAAAUCCUAAGUUUCCAGUCACAAGCAAUUAUCCAGCUUUUAAUGAAAUGCAAGCCUUCUAUCUAGUUGCUAAAUCUCCUGAGAUGGUUUCUGGUUUCUUCAGUUCUCAGUAGAAAUUCUUUUUUUUUUUUAUAGACAGGUUUAUUGAGGUACAAUUUACAUACAGUAAAAUUCACUCUUGUUAAGUGGAUAGUUCUAUUUGUUUUGACAAAUGUACAGUGGUGUAAACAUCACAAAAACAAACUAAGCACACACAAAGUGUUAAUAGUAAAUGUUUUACAUUUUACCACAUUUAUUUAUUUGUUUGUUUGUUUAUUUAUUUGAGACGGAGUCUUGCUGUAUCACCCAGGCUGGAGUGCGAUGGUGCAAUCUCGGCCCACUGCAACCUCCACCUCCCAGGUUCAAGUGAUUCUCCUGCCUCAGCCUCCCGAGUAGCUGGGAUUACAGGUUCAUACCACCAGGCCCGGCUAAUUUUUGUUUUUUUAGUAGAGACGAUGUUUCACCAUGUUGGCCAGCCUGGUCUCAAACUCCUGACCUCAAGCGAUCUGUUUGCCCCGGCCUCUCAAAGUGCUGAGAUUACAGGCGUGAGCCACUGUGCCUGGCCUAAUUUUUAUUUUUAUUUUUUUUUUUCAAGAAGCCUGUCUUGCUUUUGUGCAGUUAAGCCCCUUCCCUCUUCACACGAGGGGAAGAGGCAAGGGCCCUGAGAACACCUGAGAGCACCUGACGGGUGGGUUUCUGAGCUGGUACUUUUGCUUUUUCCAGAAUGUUAUAGAAAUGGAAUCAUAUAACGGUGUGUGGUAUUUCAUGCCUAACUUCUUUUGCUUCACGUAAUGCCUCUGAGUUUCAUCUAUGUUGUUGGAGGUAUCCAUAGUUUGUUCUUUUUAUUGCUUUUUAUUCCAUUGUAUGGAUGUAGCACAGCUUCUUUAAUUCAUGAGUCGAUAGGUAUUUGGUUUGCUUCCAGUUUUUGGAGAUGAUGGAGAUUAUGAAUAAAUCUGCUCUAAGUAUUUGCAUACAUGGUUUCAUUGGGACAUAAAUUUUUGUUUUUCCUGGAUAAUAGGAGUGAGAUUGUUGGGUCUAUGGUAAGUACAUCUUUAACUUUUAUAAGAAGCUACCAAACUGUUUUCCAAAGUGCUUGUGCUGUUUCACCAUCCCAUUAGCAAUGGAUGACAGUCCCAGCCACUUCACCUCUCUGCCACCACUUAAAAUUGUCAGUGGUGGCCAGACAUAGUGACUCAUGCUGGUAAUCUCAGCACUUUGGGAGGCUGAGACGGGAGGAUCACUUGAGUCCAGGAGUUCAAGACCAGCCUGGACAGUACAGUGAGACCUUGUCUGUACAAAAAAAAAAAAAAAAAAUUAGCCGGGCAUGGUGGUGCAUGCCUAUAGUCUCAGCUACUCAGGAGGCUGAGGUGAGAGGAUCAUUUGAGCCUGGGAGGAGGACACUGCCAUGAGCCAAGACUGUACCACUGCACUCCAGCCUGAGCAACAGAGCAAGACCUUAUCUCAAAAAAAAAAAAAAAAUUGCCAUUUUCAUUUCCCUGAUGACUAAUGAUGUCAAGCAUUUUUAAUGUGCUUAUUUGCCAUCCAUAUAUCUUCAGUGGUUAUGCGCUUAUUGAAAUCUUUUGCUCACGUUUUAAUUUGGCUGUUUUCUGUGAGUUUUGAGAGUUCUCGAUAUAUUUUAGAUACAAGCCCAUUAUUAGAUUUGUAAU
Molecule: long non-coding RNA, 2519 nt
Filed under: Homo sapiens (human)
Lineage: Eukaryota; Metazoa; Chordata; Mammalia; Primates; Hominidae
Description: HSALNT0269177
Source: RNAcentral